CCUAACACAUGCAAGUCAACUUGACUGAAGGAGCAAUCUGACAGUAGAGUGGCGCAAGGGUGCGUAACGCGUAAGUAACUUGCCCAAGGUAAGGAAUAACGUCGAGAAAUCGGCGCUAAUACCUCAUAAUGCAGCGGAUCCGCAUGGAUAUGUUGUUAAAGGUUUACCGCCUUGGGAUAGGCUUGCGUCUGAUUAGCUAGUUGGUGUGGUAACGGCACACCAAGGCUACGAUCAGUAACUGGUCUGAGAGGAUGAUCAGUCACACUGGAACUGAGACACGGUCCAGACUCCUACGGGAGGCAGCAGUGAGGAAUAUUGGGCAAUGCUCGAAAGAGUGACCCAGCAACGCCGCGUGGAGGAUGAAGGUAUUCUAUAUCGUAAACUCCUGUGAGAGCAGACGAAAGACAGAUUAUUAAUCUGGAUGACUGUAUGCUCAGAGGAAGCCCCGGCUAACUACGUC
RNAcentral lists this ribosomal RNA (460 nucleotides) under uncultured bacterium. RNAcentral's name for it is "bacterial SSU rRNA". It matches the Rfam family "Bacterial small subunit ribosomal RNA", at positions 47 to 507 of the family's 1533-position model. The record is from RNAcentral.